This 432-nucleotide ribosomal RNA is filed under the name uncultured bacterium. RNAcentral's name for it is "partial 16S ribosomal RNA". It matches the Rfam family "Bacterial small subunit ribosomal RNA", at positions 29 to 506 of the family's 1533-position model. The record is from RNAcentral.
AACGAACGCUGGCGGCAUGCCUAACACAUGCAAGUCGAACGAGCCCUUCGGGUUUUGUGGCGCACGGGUGCGUAACGCGUGGGAACCUGCCCCUAGGUUCGCAAUACCUCAGAGAAAUUUGAGCUAAUACCGGAUGAUGUCUUCUGACAAAAGAUUUAUCGCCUCUAGAUGGGCCCGCGUUGGAUUUGCUCGUUGGUGGGGUAAAGGCCUACCAAGGCGCCGCUCCAUAGCUGGUCUGAGAGGAUGAUCAGCAACACUGGGACUGGGACACGGCCCAGACUCCUACGGAAGGCAGCAGUGGGGAAUAUUGGACAAUGGGCGAAAGCCUGAUCCAGCAAUGCCGGGUGAGGGAUGAAGGCCUUAGGGUUGUAAAGCUCUUUGACCCGGGAUGAUAAUGACAUUCCCGGGGGAAUAAGCCCCGGCUAACUCCGU